AUAUCAAUAAGCGGAGGAAAAGAAACCAACAGGGAUUGCCCCAGUAACGGCGAGUGAAGCGGCAACAGCUCAAAUUUGAAAUCUGGCCCUUUCGGGUCCGAGUUGUAAUUUGUAGAGGAUGCUUUUGGCAAGGCGCCGCCCGAGUUCCCUGGAACGGGACGCCACAGAGGGUGAGAGCCCCGUCUGGCUGGCCGCCGAGCCUCUGUAAAGCUCCUUCGACGAGUCGAGUAGUUUGGGAAUGCUGCUCAAAAUGGGAGGUAUAUGUCUUCUAAAGCUAAAUAUUGGCCAGAGACCGAUAGCGCACAAGUAGAGUGAUCGAAAGAUGAAAAGCACCUUGAAAAGAGGGUUAAAUAGUACGUGAAAUUGUUGAAAGGGAAGCGCUUGUGACCAGACUUGGGCGCGGCGGAUCAUCCGGGGUUCUCCCCGGUGCACUUCGCCGUGUCCAGGCCAGCAUCAGUUCGUCGCGGGGGAAAAAGGCUUCGGGAACGUGGCUCCCCUGGGAGUGUUAUAGCCCGUUGCAUAAUACCCUGCGGUGGACUGAGGACCGCGCAUCUGCAAGGAUGCUGGCGUAAUGGUCACCAGCGAC
This 586-nucleotide ribosomal RNA is filed under the name Trichoderma reesei. RNAcentral describes it as "eukaryotic LSU rRNA". It matches the Rfam family "Eukaryotic large subunit ribosomal RNA", at positions 40 to 648 of the family's 3401-position model. Lineage: Eukaryota; Fungi; Ascomycota; Sordariomycetes; Hypocreales; Hypocreaceae. The record is from RNAcentral.